ACAUUGAAAUUAGCUUAAUUUAACAUUAGGGUUACAAAUACACAUAGAAGCCUUUUUUGUCUCUAAUCUACAGCUCUCUGUAAUAUCAUUAUUUAUCCUAUAGGUGGUCGCUAUGGAUGAGGAAUCAGGUGAGGUUGCUAAAGCCUCAGUCGACAUAGAGCUGCUACAAAGAGGCCAGCCAGUUCCACGGACACCUUUCGGAGAAGAGCGGUUGUUCAGGGACAUGGAUGUGAGGAUGGCUGGCGGUAUCAUGGGUGGGAUGCUGCUGCUGUUAGUGGCCAUCCUGUUCCUGCUGAUCCGAUGGGCCAAGAGGAGACGGAGACGGGACCCGGCCAGACGAGGGGCUGUCAUCCUGGGGAAGCACCCCAAUGUGGUAAGGGCUGCUCCAUGUACACAUAACACACACUGUAUCCACACACAUGACUCUCACACACACACAGGGGCAACUAAAGCACACACACAAGUGAAAGAAAUAUACUGAUCCAGGUGUUGAAAUAUUGAAUGACCAUUUGCUGGCCAGUUGCGACUGAAGGAAUGGCCAGGAAUGGCAAAGCCACAUAAAUGAGUAUUACAGUCAAACACAAUGAAGCAACUAAGGAUAGUUGGCUUAUACAACCCUAAUCUGAGCUAAAUGUGUCAUUACCCAGGUUUUCAUCCAAACUUUUUAUGCAAGUUUCUUUUUUAAAGCUGUUGGUGUACUUUCCAAAUUUCGACAAAACCAAAUACGCUACAUAAAGUGGGAUCUUUUUGUGUCGUCCAAUUAAUUUUCUGAGAAAUACCAGAGGAAACAACUUUAUGGGCAAAUAUUGAUACAAUAACCAUGAUAUUGAAGUAAACUUGGAGUCACGCGAUGAUAUACUGUGUGGUCCUCCCACUACGACUCGGGAAGCUAUGCAGUUUGUUAGACUACUGAUGAAAUGAAUGAUGAUGAACUUCACAGCGUGGUGAAAGUACACGGUGAUCUUAAUGCUCCUCUCCAAUAAAUAUCAAAGGGUCUGAUUCUGGUGACAUGAUGAUCGAUGCCUCACUUCUUAUCUAUAAUAAUCUCAUCACGUAGACGAGCCUACCCGCACUG
RNAcentral lists this long non-coding RNA (1075 nucleotides) under Oncorhynchus kisutch (coho salmon). RNAcentral describes it as "lncRNA (ENSOKIG00005016359.1)". The record is from RNAcentral. Lineage: Eukaryota; Metazoa; Chordata; Actinopteri; Salmoniformes; Salmonidae.